GACGAACGCUGGCGGCGUGCUUAACACAUGCAAGUCGAACGGAAAGGCCCUGCUUUUGUGAGGUGCUCGAGUGGCGAACGGGUGAGUAACACGUGAGUAACCUGCCCUUGACUUUGGGAUAACUUCAGGAAACUGGGGCUAAUACCGGAUAGGAGCUCCUGCUGCAUGGUGGGGGUUGGAAAGUUUCGGCGGUUGGGGAUGGACUCGCGGCUUAUCAGCUUGUUGGUGGGGUAGUGGCUUACCAAGGCUUUGACGGGUAGCCGGCCUGAGAGGGUGACCGGCCACAUUGGGACUGAGAUACGGCCCAGACUUCUACGGGAGGCAGCAGUGGGGAAUAUUGCACAAUGGGCGGAAGCCUGAUGCAGCAACGCCGCGUGCGGGAUGACGGCCUUCGGGUUGUAAACCGCUUUCGCCUGUGACGAAGCGUGAGUGACGGUAAUGGGUAAAGAAGCACCGGCUAACUACGUG
RNAcentral lists this ribosomal RNA (468 nucleotides) under uncultured bacterium. RNAcentral's name for it is "partial 16S ribosomal RNA". It matches the Rfam family "Bacterial small subunit ribosomal RNA", at positions 28 to 507 of the family's 1533-position model. The record is from RNAcentral.